This 432-nucleotide ribosomal RNA is filed under the name uncultured bacterium. RNAcentral describes it as "partial 16S ribosomal RNA". It matches the Rfam family "Bacterial small subunit ribosomal RNA", at positions 29 to 506 of the family's 1533-position model. The record is from RNAcentral.
AGCGAGCGCUGGCGGCAGGCUUAACACAUGCAAGUCGAGCGGGCCCUUCGGGGUCAGCGGCGGACGGGUGAGUAACGCGUGGGAACGUGCCUUCUGGUCUGGAAUAACCCUGGGAAACUAGGGCUAAUACCGGAUACGCCCUUUUGGGGAAAGGUUUACUGCCGGAAGAUCGGCCCGCGUCUGAUUAGCUAGUUGGUGGGGUAACGGCCUACCAAGGCGACGAUCAGUAGCUGGUCUGAGAGGAUGAUCAGCCACACUGGGACUGAGACACGGCCCAGACUCCUACGGGAGGCAGCAGUGGGGAAUAUUGGACAAUGGGCGCAAGCCUGAUCCAGCCAUGCCGCGUGAGUGAUGAAGGCCUUAGGGUUGUAAAGCUCUUUUAUCCGGGACGAUAAUGACGGUACCGGAGGAAUAAGCCCCGGCUAACUUCGU